UCCCGAGCGUUNUCCGGAUUUAUUGGGCGUAAAGCGAGCGCAGGCGGUUAGAUAANUCUGAAGUUAAAGGCAGUGGCUCAACCNCUGUAGGCUUUGGAAACUGUUUAACUUGAGUGCAGAAGGGGAGAGUGGAAUUCCAUGUGUAGCGGUGAAAUGCGUAGAUAUAUGGAGGAACACCGGUGGCGAAAGCGGCUCUCUGGUCUGUAACUGACGCUGAGGCUCGAAAGCGUGGGGAGCGAACAGGAUUAGAUACCCUGGUAGUNCACGCCGUAAACGAUGAGUGCUAGGUGUUAGGUCCUUUCCGGGACUUAGUGCCGCAGCUAACGCAUUAAGCACUCCGCCUGGGGAGUACGACCGCAAGGUUGAAACUCAAAGGAAUUGACGGGGGCCCGCACAAGCGGUGGAGCAUGUGGUUUAAUUCGAAGCAACGCGAAGAACCUUACCAGGUCUUGACAUCCUGAUGCCCGCUCUAGAGAUAGAGCUUUACUUCGGUACAUCGGUGACAGGUGGUGCAUGGUUGUCGUCAGCUCGUGUCGUGAGAUGUUGGGUUAAGUCCCGCAACGAGCGCAACCCUUAUUGUUAGUUGCCAUCAUUCAGUUGGGCACUCUAGCGAGACUGCCGGUAAUAAACCGGAGGAAGGUGGGGAUGACGUCAAAUCAUCAUGCCCCUUAUGACCUGGGCUACACACGUGCUACAAUGGCUGGUACAACGAGUCGCAAGCCGGUGACGGCAAGCUAAUCUCUGAAAGCCAGUCUCAGUUCGGAUUGUAGGCUGCAACUCGCCUACAUGAAGUCGGAAUCGCUAGUAAUCGCGGAUCAGCACGCCGCGGUGAAUACGUUCCCGGGCCUUGUACACACCGCCCGUCACACCACGAGAGUUUGUAACACCCGAAGUCGGUGAGGUAACCGUAAGGANCCA
Molecule: ribosomal RNA, 918 nt
Filed under: uncultured bacterium
Lineage: Bacteria
Description: bacterial SSU rRNA
Rfam family: Bacterial small subunit ribosomal RNA
Source: RNAcentral